Olea europaea var. sylvestris is the source of this 494-nucleotide long non-coding RNA. RefSeq lists it as uncharacterized. The transcript has 3 exons. The record is from RefSeq and is a predicted model, not a curated record. Lineage: Eukaryota; Viridiplantae; Streptophyta; Magnoliopsida; Lamiales; Oleaceae.
CUGAAGAGGGUUCUGUAUCAUCUGUAGAACAUGCAGAGUAUAGAGCAGACGAGAAUGAUGAUGAGUUUGUGAGUGCAAGUGAAUUCUCAAGGCAGACACCUGGUCAUCACAGUUCUCGAAGGCUCCGUUCCUGCUUCUAUGACAAUUAAGAAUAGAGUAGACUGUAGCUGCGGGAUGGCAGGAAAGCUUUUAACAAUAUUAGGUGAAGGAAAAGUGCCGGCGGGGUAUGUUAGUGCUGCUAAUAAUGUGUAAAAUUGUAUACAGUUCUUAAAUAAGCAUUAUCUGCUCAGAUUUAUUUCCUUUUUACUAUCUGUUCCCGUUUUCUCUCCCUUGUUUUCUGCAUUUCUGGAGAAGGAUUUGAUCUGUUGGCUUGCUGUUCAAUAAUCAUUUGUUUUUGUGACUGAAUAUUUUGUUGGGAGACUGCUCGGUUUUAGAUGUAUCAUAGAAACUUAUAUUGUUAUUCAAAGAGAUUGUCAUAGAAAUCAUGUAUUUGA